UCCCUUUCGCAUCGUCCAGGUCCUGGGGAGAGACAUUUAUUUAAAAGUAGCUGAAAUGAAGCACAGAAACAAACUGUCCUUCAAGCUCCCUGUCCUGUGACUGUGGAUGUCUCUCUGUUGUGGAGUGCUGAUCUUAUGGAAUGAUAUUAGUCUUCCUCAAAAGUAAUGAAACAGGCAGCGUCCUCCUGGAGCCAAAAAAGGAGCUGGUUUAAAAGUAUCUCAGCCUCCAAUUCUCCUCUCUAGGAUUUGGAUCUGGUUGUCUGCAACAACUACUACAAACCAGCUCGUGAAUGAAAGCUGGAUGAAGAAUUUCCUGCCUGCUCUGUCUUGGUGAAGCAGCAAAGAAGGAGGGAGAGCACUGCUUUUAAAGAG
RNAcentral lists this long non-coding RNA (372 nucleotides) under Zonotrichia albicollis (white-throated sparrow). RNAcentral's name for it is "lncRNA (ENSZALG00000004378.1)". The record is from RNAcentral. Lineage: Eukaryota; Metazoa; Chordata; Aves; Passeriformes; Passerellidae.